Molecule: unclassified non-coding RNA, 5624 nt
Organism: Rhipicephalus microplus (southern cattle tick)
Lineage: Eukaryota; Metazoa; Arthropoda; Arachnida; Ixodida; Ixodidae
Source: RefSeq, a predicted model, not a curated record
CACGCGAAAAGCUUCAAACGUCAUCGGCAGCAGCAACGAACUUUAAAGAUGGCGGAUGGAGGGGGCGAGAAGCAAUUAACCUACACGCAAGACAAUGUGUCCGUACGCAUUCUCAGUUCGCGGGGCGAGGAGACGACAUCUGGGAAGCUGGAAAUUACAAAAGAGAAGCAUGGGCACGUUGUGACGUGGACCGCAUACCCGCCAGCACCGGCAGACAAGGAUCAGCAGCGGUACGACGAGAACUCUGCCGGUGUUUGGGAGGACCUAAGCGCCGACAGUGCGGUCUCUUACCACGUUGGCGGCAAGGACAAGAACCAGUCACUCGACUCUGUUAAGAUCAAGAAAGAGAAUGGCACCUCCUCCGGCGGUGGUGACUCGCCCGCCUCCGGGCAACACUCUGUGGUCACGUUUGAGGUGACCGACCUCACCUCUUACCGGUGCCGCCAAGUGGCCGACACGCACGAGCUCACGCUGAACCUCAGUGACGGCACGCGCCUGCCCACAUUCAUCUUCAUCGAGCGCCGCUACGAGCACUUCAUUCGAGCCCUGCACGAACACGUUUCCUUCAAAAGGUCGCGAAAAGACCCGCUCCUCUACCUGGUUCAGAUGCCAGCAGUGGAGGCACUCCACAAGUCGUUUGACCAGUUGAACCUGUAUCCCGAGUCGUCAUCACGGUACGACGUAAUUCGGAAGUUCCUGACGAAUCCAACGUGGGAUGCGACUUGGGACGGCUUUGCCAAAGUGGCAAACUAUGUCACGGGGGCCGCAUCAGGCUUGCCCGGCGACGAGUACCGGCUCGGUUAUGGAUACCUCGAGGAACAGCAACCCGACAGUCUAACCGGCCUCGAGAUCAGUGCCCACAGCGAGGAGCCCGGCUUCGAGGUGGUCAUCAGGACCCUGCCCAAGCGGACCGAAGUGAAGCGCGGCGCACCACUCUGUCAUGAGGAGUGGGCCAUGGCGCACAAUCCGGAGGGGCGCAUUCUCAACGAGGCCAGCCUUAGGGAGCGCAUCUUUCGAGGGGGCAUUGCUGCUGACCUGAGGAGAGAGGUGUGGCCGUUCUUGCUGGAGUACUACUCCUUCGACUCAACCUACAAGGAGCGUGAGGCACUCCGGAAGAAGCUCAAGGACUGCUACUACCGGAUGAAGCUUCAGUGGAAGUCAAUCAGUGAUGACCAGGAGUCGCGAUUCGCUGAUUACAGGGAAAGGAAGAACCUUGUUGAGAAGGACGUCAGCCGCACUGACCGGACGCACGUCUUCUACCAAGGCGAGAACAAUUCCAAGGUCGAGAUGCUCAACGACAUCCUCAUGACCUAUGUCAUGUACAACUUUGAUUUGGGAUAUGUCCAGGGCAUGAGUGAUCUGCUGUCACCAAUACUGAUGGUGAUGGACAAUGAGGAGGACGCCUUCUGGUGCUUCGUUGGCUAUAUCAAGCGAGUGAUGUCCAACUUCGACAUUGACCAGAGCGGCAUGAAGAAGCAGCUGACCCAGCUCUUUGACAUCCUUGCCGUUGCUGUUCCCAAGCUGGCCAUUUACCUCGAGGAGCAUGAGUCUGGCAACCUGUACUUCUGUUUCCGCUGGCUCCUGGUUCUCUUCAAGCGCGAGUUCAGGUGCGAGGAGAUCAUGAGGUUGUGGGAGGUACUAUGGACUGAUCUGCCCUGUAAGAACUUCCACCUGCUUCUCUGCGUGGCCAUCCUGGACCACGAGAAGGAGUUGCUCAUUGAGAACAACUAUGGGCUCAACGAGAUCCUCAAGCACAUCAACGACAUGUGCUACCGCAUAGACCUUGAGUUGAUCCUUUCAACAGCUGAAGCAAUCGUAGAACAGCUCAAGGGUUCCACGAAGCUUCCCGAGUCGGUUCAAGAAGCGCUGGGCAUAUGCAUUGCCAAUGAAGCUGUGCCAGUCGAUGCUAGUGAUGCUCUUGUUGUUGGCAACGCCGGCAUCAAUGCACCCGCGUCUCCGGAGAGCCUUCGCGAUGGGCAGCGGACGUGCAGUACCAGUUCCGUGGAAGUGCUUUCGGAUGGCGACGUGGAGGCGAGGUACGAGCGCCACCUCCAGUUCUCCAUUUGAAGUGCUCCUUUCGGAGGGCCUAACAGAACACAUCAGCUGGGCUGGGGUGAAGGCAUUUGAAUCUCUUAGCCAACAGCUUGCUUCAAGGAUACCCAAAUAGCCUGGAGUGCAGCCUACUGUGUGACGGUGACAUACUUGUAUUUUUGUACAGAAUGUGGAGUUUUCAGCUUUCGGAAAUAGAUUGUUGUGAUAAUGCCCUUCAAGGAUGUUCGAUUCUGGUCGAGAAUGAGUACUGCGAGUUCUGCGAAUACUGUUUGACUUCUCUGAUGAGUACUUUGUCCUGAGGCCUCAGCUAACAAUAUUCCCUUUUGUUUGCGCCAAACUAUUUCUGCGAUUACGCUUGCAUGUUAAGUUACGGAUAAUUUAGUGAAUCGCUAAGAACGUUUGAAUUUAAAAUGUUUUGACACAUUUAUGAGAAGAGAGAAAAGCUGUUUGUUCUGCUUUCUGCAAAUGAGAAUACGAACUUCCACUUUGUCUAUUGAACAAGAAUAUUUGCUAAUGUGUAUUAUUUUGUAAUAGACAUUCAGUUUUUGCUUAAGCUGUUCAUUUGUGACUUUAUCUAGACUGAUUCUUUUCUAUAAGUUUUCUCUCGAUAUUUGUUGUUGAUGUGCUAAAUCUGCUGGUGCGUCAGCAAUUAUUUAUGCAGAUAAAGCUUCACAUUUUCAGGUUCAGCAGCUUCAGCGUCAGUUCACGAGAUUCCGCUUUCUGCAGGCGAUCUGUUCAGCUGCACUUUUUAUUACACAGUGGUGUGUAGAAUACUGGAGUGUACAGUAUCGUGUGUGUGUGUUUAAUAGCAUGUUACCAGCAUUUUUUUCUGACCAAUACAUUACAUAUUUUAUAUAUAUAUAUGUAUAGCCAUGAGCAAUUCGAAAAUCGAACGCCAUAAUUUUCUUUGAGAUACCAGAGUGAAUAAACCCGCAGUUGACAGUUUCAACUGCGUUCGCAACUCUAAAUUAUUAAGCAGAAGGGUGCCACUUGGUAAUCAGUGCAUUAGAUCUUUAUUCACACAUCACAAGUUAAGGUUGCUUGAUUGCACACUUGGCGAUUUCUAUCAUAUUAUUCAUGAAUGUACAAGCAAACAGCAGCUCUUGCUAUUUUGUAUUGUAUUCCUGUAUCUUUUGUAGUGUUGUUUAGCUUUACACUUUUUGUAUCAGUGAAGCGGAACUUUGUAUUUGCUUUGUGCAUUAUGUCCUUGCUGUAAGAUAUUUCAUAGCCAAAAUACAUUUUGUGAGUUCUACUGUGCGUGUCUGAUAUGACCAUCUGUGCCACACCGAAAUGACUACAUUCGUAUUCUAGUUUGGUUAUGUGAGCAAUAUAUAUGUAUAUGUACUACCUUGUUAACAGUACGCAUUGAAGACCUGGUCAGAGUAGUACACGCCAGUUUGAGGUGCUGAUAUUUACUCUGAAACCUUCGUUACGAGAUUCUCGCUUUAUAGAUUUACAUUACAGAUAGGGCCAUUGUAUGCUAUGCUGUUAUGCUUUCUUGUAGCUUUUCAUUCUACAGUAAGGUAGCCACAAUAUUCUUAUUAGCCAGCAUUAUUUCAAUCUAUUUUGUUAUGUCUUCGAAACCCAACUAGCCACACUCCUCAGUUUUAUUCUGUCCUUGGUUUAACUGUUUAUUGCGGGGCUCACAUUUUAGGAGAAAACUUUUGUGAAUGCUACUGCAUCUGUUUGCCUUACCAUGUCUUUUAGCUUUCAUUUUGCUUUACUGUAGAAUUAUGAAACAUUUUGGUAUAUUGUUGGUAUUCUACAAUGCAUGUAAUGAAGAGACUAGUGCAUUGAAUAAGGAGUAAGAUUCUUGAAAAUUUAUUUCAGAUAUCACAAUCCUGAAAGCAUUUUUCUUGGCUUCAUGCACGUAGUUACAUGACAGAGUUCUGAUAAAGUAACUAUAUUGGUCCUUUUAUGUCAUUGGCUACAUGAUGAAUCCAGUAGGAUUAUAUAUAUAUUAUUGUUGGAGAUUAGUGAAAGCAUUGAAGAGGUUGUUUGUAGCUUUAAUAAAGAUGUUCUAUGCACAUCUUCUCCUUAAGGUAAUUCUUUUCAAUUUUUAAUAUUCGCAUGGAAAUUAGUAACCCUGCACUUAAAGCCAUCAGAUAGUUCACUGUCUACCUGCUACCAUCUGCCAGCCUUUGUGUUAGCCCACCCUGCAAUUAGUAGAACACAGAUUAACUUCAAAGGCUUUCUUCACAGUACAAAAGCAUAAUUGAUAUAUCUGCACAUUAGCGUGCGUAUAUUUAAAACAUUUGUGUGCAGUUAAACCCAUACAUAUGGAACCUGAAGGGAAUCACAGAAAAAUAUAGGUAGGUCUUUCGGUAAGAUAUUUGAUAUAUUGUAAAAUAUCUUCAAGAGGAUUUUACAUCCACUCAAUAAACAGAAUGGUUAAUUAUAUGUGAAUUGAACCUGUGCAAAUUCAAUUGUGUGCUUAAUAUACACAGCAUUCUGUUUGUUCAGUAUUGUAAUACUAUUAAGGCUGCUAGUCCGCGCUUCAUUUAGGAUUGUGAUUGCUAAAGCACUGUAUGUAUUAUGUAUUUAGCGAGCUAGUGUCUUACUUUGAAUCUUAUGCUGUCGAUGUCUCAUAGGCAGCACUUGCAUAUCAAGCAGGGGUGCGUCUGUCUAAAACCUGUAGAUUGACUUGUGUGCAAUAGGUCUGUAAAUGAAAUUGGCUUUACAUAUAAAACUGAAAAUGUUUGUUGUUGUUGGAAAUAUAUUGACGGUCGUACUGAGGCAGCUAAACAAUAAGGCAAAACUUAAGUGUGUUCUCCAACUAGCGUUAUGCCAUUAAUCAUUCAAAAGUGGAUUCAUUUAGGCCUCUGCAGAAAUGAACACAUGGGGUUCGACGGAAUGCGUUGGCAGGCAGUUGGUGUGAAUUUAUAGUGCUAAUGCAGCGCAAAACAACACCAUUGGAAAAAAGACAACACAGCGCUGCUCUCAACUGAGGUCAUUUGACUGUAGCGCUGUGUUCUGUCUCUUUUCCUGUGGUGUCAUUUUGUGCUAAAUUAGCACUAUGUAGACAUUAGGGGUCUGCCAGAAUUCAGAUGACCACGACAGUCUCUGAGAAUAAAGCCCAACAUAAUCGAACACUUAGUGUAAGGCAUGCUUAGUAUUCUGUUAUAAUGCAGUUGAAUAUGAUGCAAUGUCAGUUCUUUUCCAAACAUGCUGCAUAGCUGGCUGUGGAAGAGCUGAGUCCCACUUUUUUGUGUUAGAAUCUCUUGUGGCUUAUCAUACGCCCUCAAUCAAGACGAUAUUGCUCAUUGAUGUAGUAUGUGGGUAUUGUGGUUAGUCCCGCGCAAUCAAAUCACUCUUUAUGUUGUGUCCUACUCAGUCAACUACCCGUUGAGCCCUUCUCUUGCUGUUUGUGGUGUUCAUCAAGUACUUGAGGUGUUGGUAGCACUUGUGUGGUUGGCUUUCUGUUGGUGCUGUGUAAGACAAUGCCGCAAGGUCUGCAAAAGAUACUAUUGCUCGUUCUUGCAAAGCAUUGUAGUUUAUCUCUAGAUCAAAGUGCUAUGCAACAAUGUAAUUCACAACGUAUGUAUGUGGAAAUAAAUGGCAAGUACAUUCAA